Molecule: long non-coding RNA, 1609 nt
Filed under: Homo sapiens (human)
Lineage: Eukaryota; Metazoa; Chordata; Mammalia; Primates; Hominidae
Description: PREDICTED lncRNA (TCONS_00070662)
Source: RNAcentral
GGCUGUCCACUGUCCCAAGCCCUCGCAUGUCCUGGAUGGCCGGUCAUCAUCCACACGGGGGCUGAAAGGCCCGGCUCCAGCACUCCUGUGGUCAUCAUCCUGCUGAAUCGCUUUGAACUACCCUUGGCCUAACCGCGACUCCCAUCCCGCUUCCCUCCUGCCUCGCCACUGCAGGCCUGUCCCUUUGCUUUCUUAAAACUGCGCACCGUCUGAGGCCACUUCGAGCCUACUGGAUCCCUGGUUCCAACCCAGUAGGAUCACAGAAGCAGGGCCAGCUGCCAGGAGAAAAAGUUGUUCUCUUCUACCAAAUUUUCCUGCCAUCAAAUGCUCAUUGAGUGACAAUAGAGAAAGCACCAUCAUCCUGAAGCAUCAGAUUGGGAGAAAAGUCCGCUCUCGAGAGCAUCAACUAUGUAGAAAGGGGACCAGCUUCUGCAAAAGACUUGAGACAGCUCACAAUGAAGUACUCUGUAUUAGGCAGGGUAAUAUUGAUUGCAAGUGACAGAAACCCAAUCAGAAACUCACUGGAGUCAUGAGGAACACUUAUUGGCUCAGUAAAGGCAAAAUAGACCUUCAGAGAAAUAAAGUCUGGGAAAUUGACUAGAUCCUCACUGAAAGAACUACUAAAGGAUGUACUUAUGGAAGAAGAAAAUUACAAAGUGAAAGAACUGGGAUGCAAGAAGUAAUGUUCCCAACAUGAUGUGAACAACAUCUGUGCUGGUUGAAUGAAUGAAUGGUGUUGAAAGCAUCUACAUCAGGGGUGUCCAAUCUUUCAGCUUCCCUGGGCUACACUGGAAGAAGAAUAAUUUUCUUGCACCACAUAUAAAAUACACUAACACUACUGAUAGCUGAUGAGCUAAAAAAAAAAAAUCGCAAAAAAAUCUCAUGUUUUAAGAAAGUUUAUGAAUUUGUGUUGGGCCACAUCCAAAGCCAUCCUGGGCUGCAUGCAGCCUGCAGGCCAUGGGUUGGACAAGCUUGACUACAGCUUUAAAGUGAUCUUAAUCUAAUCAAUUCUUCCCCAUUCAGAAGAAACCUACUACAUCAGAGUCUAUUGAGAAUCUAUCUCCCUAAUCACCCUCAGGCACAGGGUUAUUAUGUAUUGAUAUCAUACACACUAAAAAAUUCCAUCAUACAGGUCUAGAAAUACUUCCAUAAUACAGUAAUAUUUUAAUAGAGUCAUAACACACAGACAGCCACCCAUUCUGCCUGUAGCCAGUCAUGGAGCAAUACAUUUUGUACAUAACCUGUAAUUUCUUCUGGAGAGUGUAAUUACAAUGCCAAUAUGACAUUUUAUUUUUAUUAUUAUUAUUUAGUUAGUUAGUUAGUUACUUUUUGAGACAGAGUCUCACUCUGUCGCCAGGCUGGAGUGCAGUGGUGUGAUCUCGGCUCACUGCAACCUCUGCCUCCCGGGUUCAAGUGAUUCUUCUGCCUCAGCCUCCCGAGUAGCUGGGACUAUGGGUGCCCACCACCACACCUGGCUAAUUUUUGUAUUUUUAGUAGAGAUGGGGUUUCACCAUGUUAGCCAGGAUGGUCUAGGGGUUGAUAAACUACAGUGCACAGGCCAAAUCUGGUUUACUGCCUGAUUUUGUAAAUAAAGUUUUAUUGGAACACA